Phalacrocorax carbo (great cormorant) is the source of this 1253-nucleotide non-coding RNA. Lineage: Eukaryota; Metazoa; Chordata; Aves; Suliformes; Phalacrocoracidae. The record is from RefSeq and is a predicted model, not a curated record.
CCGCCGGUACCGCGGCGCCCGGGUUUCGGCGGGAGCAGCCGGCAGAGGCAGCGCCCCGCGGCCGGGAGCGGCGCGGCCCCAGCCCGCCCGCCGGCAGCACCUGUGGGCGCGCGUCCCGGCGCCGCUCGCUCGCUCAGGGCCCUCUCAUGCCUCCGACGGCCCCGCGCCCGCCCGGCCGCCCCGCGGGAGCCGCCGUCAGACCGGACAAACGGGUUCCCCCGGUUGGCGGGGCCGGCCCCGCCGCGCAGGAGGAGGGGAGGGGCCGCUCCGGCCCCGUCUCGGCCCGGCUGCUCCCGGCCCACGAGAGGGGAGGCGGCGGGACCCCCGGGCGUCGCGGCCCCGGUUCCACGGCGGGGCGGCGCCGCCCCCGCCUCUCCCCGGCCGGCCGAGCCCUGCGGCUGCCGCCGCCCCGGUAGGUGAGGGGUGGCGGGGCCGGGCCGGGCCGGGCCGUGAGCAGAACCCCCUCCCGCCGAGGGCCCGCAAAACGCGCUUCCCCUUUGCGGAGGGUUCCCCGCGACUUUCCGGCGUCGGGGAAGGCGGGAGGCGGCGGUUCGCACACGGGCUCAGAGAGGAGCAGGAUGGGCGCCCGGGCCUGAGGGGCCAAAAGCUGAAUCAUGAGGCUGUAGCAAAUUACGCAUAAACAUCUCAGGAGCCUACUGGGAACUCGUCAAAGGAAUGUGGCAAGCUCUGACUGUGAGGAGGAUAUGCAAUUCCCCGGAGGGCAUCGACUUUGCUCCCCAUCAUGCAGACCCCCUCCCGAAGAGGAUGUUAUCUGUGUUUGAUCGCGGUGAGGUUCAGGUGACUGCGUCCAGGGAAUAGUCCCCAUGUGGCUGUAGAGAAACCAGCAUCUGAUCUGUUGCACCUUUGUUUCUCAAGUCAUAAUAUGAAAAAUUAGUGAGAAAGACCACAGUUGAAUUUCUGCCAUUCUCGAAAUGAGAAAUGUACUUUAACAUGCCUUCUUAGUUUGGCAUAACACUAGUCUUAUUAUUGAACAGGUAUACGAGUGGGGGGGGGAACCCAAAAUGCUUGGUAUCUUGUAGUUUUUUAAUCAAUCUACCAUCAAACCCAUGUAUCUUUUGAUCUCCUGCUGCAGGCUUAGCUAAUAAAAGUGUGUUUGAUCAUGAUGUAUAUGGGAGAACCUGGCUGAGGCUAACACUGCUUAGCUAUUCAUUUAUGAGUAGCUAUUGCAGAAAUAGAAUCUGCCCACUUGUGGAUGCUGCUCUAUAAUAAAAGUGAUCUUUGUUUUGGGCUGA